UUUUUUAAGCUGAUUGUCAAACAUUUUCUAAUUUUUUUUUUAUUUAGGUUCAUUAAAUAUAUGUCAUGCAGCAGUCAUUUAUUUAUUUAUUUAUUUAACAGUCUAGCAUUAUCUGAUUUGUUUUAAAAGUUAUGUAUUUUGUAGUUUGUUAGUGAAUUUAAUUAUUUAAUUACACAACAUAUUAUGUGAAUAGUGUAAUAAUGUUCCUGCUACAUUUCUUCUAAUAUUUUUGUGAUUACUUUUUCUUCCUACCUGGUCUUUAUGCUAAGUUAUGCCGAGUUCACACUGCACGAUUUUAGCCCGAUUUUUCACUCGCCGACAGGUUUUGAUAAAUCGCCGACAAAUGCCCGAAAUCGGAAGGCAAAUCGGAGCUCGUUCACGCGAGUGACAAUCGCGCAGUGUGAAUUACCAAAGACGCAAUCUGAGAGAAUCGCCGUCACGUCGCCGACGCCUGUGAAAUAUUUGGCAUGCUAAAUAUCUGGAGCUGUCGGCGAUUCACAAUCCUGCUGUGUGCAAUGAUUUCUGACUGAAAACUAUCGCGAUGACCUUCAGCCAAUGAGAGACAAAGAUACAGGGCAGAGGGAAGUUCGGUGAGGAGUUAUAGACCAUAUCAGUAUUUUAAUAUGUACAAUUAUAUCAUACAGAAACAAGCACAAACGCUUGACCAGCCGCAACAUCAGCAUAACAGUUACUGCAAAAUUAUUAUUUACCACUCUUUGCAGAACACAAUCCCUGUUCCCUGCAUCUCCCUCCUGCAUAAUCUGUUUUUCUUUUUGUAGCUGGAAAUCAGGGCACAGACAAUUUGCGGGCUAUAUUUUUUUAAUACUUCCAGUCUCGCUUGAGAACAACGGGCUGACGCACGCAGGUUCUCGCGUUAUUUCCUUAUCACUUCUCGCGUGUGUUUUGUUGUGAAACGUAGUUUGCGGAUCAGACAGAGUUGUCGGCGAUUCUUCCUAUUGUGAAAUCGUACAAUGUGAAAGCCCCUGUCGCCGAUCCAUCGUGCAAUGUGAACACAGCAGCGACUGAAUGCUACCCCAGAUAGUCACGCAGUGUGAAAACAACAGCGAUCCGACGAGUUUGAAAAUCGUGCAGUGUGAACUCGGCAUUAGGAAAACCAGCUUCAUGUUUAAAUAGGCAAACAUGUGCCACAUAUACCAGACUGACACACACACACACACACACAUAUAUACCAGGACAGCCAGGCACAAGAACAGUUUCUUCCCCCAGGCAAUCUACAGAACAGUUCAAUGCUUUUUUAUUCUCAUCUUAUUUUUAUUGUCUGUGUGUCGUUGUUGUCUCUGUGAACUGGAAGGUUUUGACACUAAAAGAAAUUCCUUGUAUAUGCAAGCAUACUUGGCAAUAAAAGCUCUUUCUGAUUCUGAUUCUGAUAUAUAUUUUUUAUAAAUAUAUAUAUAUUUAUUUAUUUUUCUGCAAAUACUGCAUUGUGCUGGAUGGAGAAACUGAGAAGUUUAUAACAGAAGGCAUGGAAGAAGAGAGCAGGUCCUAAAACAAAGAAAUUCUUCUUAAGGAUAAACUUGAGGUCCUGGGAGUUCUUAGAGGUUCUAAAGUGUUUUUUAUGCAUUUGGUGAUGUCAAAUUUUCAAUAAUAAAUUCAAAUAAAUUCUCAUACUUUUUACAUUUAUAUGGUGUCAUUCCUACUGGGGGGUAUUGAAGAGGGAACUGCACGUGUGUGUGUGUGUAAUAUUUGUGGAAACAACAUUGUUAAAAAAAAUACUGGCUUUAAUAAUACAUUUUUUUGUAGUUUUUAGAGAACCAAUUAAUAAAGUGAACCGUUCUUAUCCAUGUAGGCUAUAUAUAUAUAGUGUGACGAGCGUCCCGGUCUCUCAUCAGCGUUGCCCUGGAGACAAAGGCUCAUCACGGCUGGGUCGGUCACACCUGAAACUCCUCAACCCACGACCAUAUAAGCCGGACGCGGCUGGGUGAGAGGAAAGACGGACUUCCUCCAGACUGAGGCUUAAUGUGUGAUAUCUUCUCUCUCCACAGACGCCAGUGAGUGACCGACCCAGCUCUGACGAGGGCACAACGGAGUUUGCACCGCACGGAAGGAAUCCCUCACGGAGAGCACCACAAUACUGCCACCAGCCACCUUGCACUUAUCGCACCUUCAUUAUCUUUGAAUAAAUCCACCCUCCGGGGUAUUUAUUUGA
Molecule: long non-coding RNA, 2167 nt
Organism: Onychostoma macrolepis
Lineage: Eukaryota; Metazoa; Chordata; Actinopteri; Cypriniformes; Cyprinidae
Exons: 2
Source: RefSeq, a predicted model, not a curated record